UGCUGUUCCGGUUGAUGGGGUUGAGGUCAGGUUCAGCAAAUUGUGAAGAAAAAAUCAUGAAAAUUGGAUUGUAUUCAUUCACACAUCUAAGCCAGUUUGAACCGUUUUCCAUUUCUUAAGAGUGUUAGACUACGAGAAUGCUAGCUUAAUUUAAAUCUUGAUGUUUGUCGGCUGCUACUAUUGUUCUGAAUAAUUUUCUUUUAUGAUAUUGUACAUUGACAUUUGGAUUAAGUGUGUAAACACAUGUCUGAUUCAAUAUCAUUCUAGUGAUUGAAGUUUGGUAAAAAAAAAAACGAAAUUAAUAGGUUUACGCUAGCAUGAUUUAUCUAUGUUUUUAUCUGAGUUAUCUAUGUUUG
This 356-nucleotide long non-coding RNA is filed under the name Medicago truncatula (barrel medic). RNAcentral's name for it is "lncRNA gene14248". Lineage: Eukaryota; Viridiplantae; Streptophyta; Magnoliopsida; Fabales; Fabaceae. The record is from RNAcentral.